GAUGAACGCUAGCGGCAGGCUUAAUACAUGCAAGUCGAGGGGCAACAGGGGUAGCAAUACCUGCUGGCGACCGGCAAACGGGUGCGGAACACGUACAGAACCUUCCUUUAAGCGGGGGAUAGCCCGGAGAAAUCCGGAUUAAUACCCCAUAGUAUUACUGACUGGCAUCAGUUGGUAAUUAAAGAUUUAUCACUUUAAAGAUGGCUGUGCGGCUGAUUAGGUAGUUGGUGUGGGUAACGGCCCACCAAGCCAGCGAUCAGUAACUGGUGUGAGAGCACGACCAGUCACACGGGCACUGAGACACGGGCCCGACUCCUACGGGAGGCGGCAGUAAGGAAUAUUGGUCAAUGGACGCAAGUCUGAACCAGCCCAUGCCGCGUGAAGGAUGAAGGUCCUCUGGA
This 401-nucleotide ribosomal RNA is filed under the name uncultured bacterium. Its description in RNAcentral is "bacterial SSU rRNA". It matches the Rfam family "Bacterial small subunit ribosomal RNA", at positions 28 to 422 of the family's 1533-position model. The record is from RNAcentral.